RNAcentral lists this ribosomal RNA (450 nucleotides) under uncultured bacterium. Its description in RNAcentral is "bacterial SSU rRNA". It matches the Rfam family "Bacterial small subunit ribosomal RNA", at positions 29 to 519 of the family's 1533-position model. The record is from RNAcentral.
AACGAACGCUGGCGGCAUGCUUAACACAUGCAAGUCGAACGCGGUUCUUCGGGACCGAGUGGCGCACGGGUGAGUAGCGCGUGGGAACCUGCCCUCUUGUGGGGGAUAACCGAGGGAAACCUCGGCUAAUACCGCAUAAGCCGGAGAGAUCCGGGAAAGAUUUAUCGCGAGAGGAGGGGCCCGCGUCGGAUUAGCUUGUUGGUGGGGUAACGGCCUACCAAGGCGAUGAUCCGUAGCUGGUCNGAGAGGAUGAUCAGCCACACUGGACUGAGACACGGCCCAGACUCCUACGGGAGGCAGCAGUGGGGAAUAUUGGACAAUGGGCGCAAGCCUGAUCCAGCAAUGCCGCGUGAGUGAGGAAGGCCUUAGGGUUGUAAAGCUCUUUCACCCGCGACGAUGAUGACGGUAGCGGGAGAAGAAGCCCCGGCUAACUUCGUGCCAGCAGCCGCA